Molecule: ribosomal RNA, 694 nt
Filed under: uncultured Lactobacillus sp.
Lineage: Bacteria; Bacillati; Bacillota; Bacilli; Lactobacillales; Lactobacillaceae
Description: bacterial SSU rRNA
Rfam family: Bacterial small subunit ribosomal RNA
Source: RNAcentral
UCGGCUUAGAGUUUGAUCCUGGCUCAGGACGAACGCUGGCGGCAUGCCUAAUACAUGCAAGUCGAACGAGUGCUUGCACAGUGGCGAACUGGUGAGUAACACGUGGGAAAUCUGCCCAGAAGCAGGGGAUAACACUUGGAAACAGGUGCUAAUACCGUAUAACAACAAAUCCGCAUGGAUUUUGUUGAAAGGUGUUCGUAUCACUUCUGGAUGAUCCCGCGGCGUAUUAGUUAGUUGGUGAGGUAAAGGCCCACCAAGACGAUGAUACGUAGCCGACCUGAGAGGGUAAUCGGCCACAUUGGGACUGAGACACGGCCCAAACUCCUACGGGAGGCAGCAGUAGGGAAUCUUCCACAAUGGACGAAAGUCUGAUGGAGCAAUGCCGCGUGAGUGAAGAAGGGUUUCGGCUCGUAAAACUCUGUUGUUAAAGAAGAACACCUUUGAGGUAAUUCAAGGGUUGACGGUAUUUAACCAGAAAGCCACGGCUAACUACGUGCCAGCAGCCGCGGUAAUACGUAGGUGGCAAGCGUUGUCCGGAUUUAUUGGGCGUAAAGCGAGCGCAGGCGGUUUUUUAAGUCUGAUGUGAAAGCCUUCGGCUUAACCGGAGAAGUGCAUCGGAAACUGGGAGACUUGAGUGCAGAAGAGGACAGUGGAACUCCAUGUGUAGCGGUGGAAUGCGUAGAUAUAUGGGAGA